Molecule: long non-coding RNA, 273 nt
Filed under: Ornithorhynchus anatinus (platypus)
Lineage: Eukaryota; Metazoa; Chordata; Mammalia; Monotremata; Ornithorhynchidae
Description: lncRNA (ENSOANG00000049993.1)
Source: RNAcentral
AUACCAAGUGCCAUUUAAUGGCUAAACCUUAAUACUGCAAUUAUCCUUCACUUUCUCCAGGGCUUUUAACUGAGUGCACAUGAGUGGCCUUUCAGAAAAAUGGGUGGAAGGAGUGAAUACUUGGCAAUAAUUGGCCCUUGAAGUGGAGGCUCAAUCAGGCAUAUACUUUAUCCACUAGGCUGUGUUGCUUCUCCACAAUUCUGCUGGAGAGAAAGGCUGAUAGCAGGAUCCCCAAAUCGUUGUUAUCAUGCGUUGAAAUAUGGGCAUCUGGAG